GCUGAUGAGUGAUCAAACUUCAAAAUCCCAUACACAGUCUGCUUCCUCAAACCCUUCCUGGCACCAACAUCUCUGAGCCGGAGAUGCACGUGCGGCUAAACCAGGACACUUUUGAGAAUGAACUUGGGUGCUAUUGGUAAUCACACCGAGACACAGCAACGUCCGGGACCAACUCAACCCUCAGUCCGCUCAUGGGGCACAGGUUUCCUGGUCCUUCCCUACCCUGACUUCUCUUCUUCUGAUGUUUGGUGGUCUGCAUCCUUUUAAACCACUGUGCUCCCAGAACUGAUUCCCAUAUGUGUCUGCCAUACUGGAAAAUACCAAAUAGGCAAGGAGAUCGUUUCAAUACUGUCUGCUGAACACCUUAAUAGAGGCAAGAGAGAACGCAGAGGAAGAAACAAUGGACUCUUUCUGAGAGAGUGGAAGAUGGCUUCGCAGAGGAGCUGCUGUCUGAGACGGAUAGCAUGAGUAGGAGUUUCCCCAGGCAGGGAAGGUGUUGUUGUUUCUCCUCAGGGUAGAGGGGAGAGCAGGGUUCCCCGUGUGUCUGUUGCUGAAUGUGACUCAUGCUGUUUUCCUGCUUUGAGCCUGCUCUAGGGUGUUAUGGGCAGGAUGGACUUGUCCUGCGUGCUUGUUGUUCCGCCGUGUUUCUGAUCUUCAGAUUUAUCGUAAGGAAGAACAGCCGAUGUACAGGCAGAACUUGACAAAUGAGGCAACAAGCAACUUGAUCUGGGAUCCAUCGUCCUCUAGACCCCAGUAGGAGUCUAAGCACCAGCGUGGUGGCCACCCCAGCAGCCUUGGACCCCUGAAGGCUUGAGCACCAAAGCACACACAGCUGCCUCUGGCUGAGUUCUGUGGUCGCCUGCACCCCCUCCACCUGCUUCCCCCGGAGGAUGGAUCAUGAAGAGUGGAAUUGCUUUUCCUCUUGGGGCAGGCACACCAACAGUGUAUGUGAGGCCCCUGCUCCCACUCCCCAGGCUGGCCAGUACUUUGGGCCAAUCUGCUAGACCCAAAAAUGUUAAUCUCACUGAGAUUUAAUUUGCAUUCCCCUGACUACCGGUGAAGUUGAGCAUCUUUUCAUAUGUUUAUUGACAAUUUGCAUUUCUUAUUCAGUAAAUUACCUGCUCGUAUCCUAGA
RNAcentral lists this long non-coding RNA (1134 nucleotides) under Homo sapiens (human). RNAcentral's name for it is "HSALNT0027891". The record is from RNAcentral. Lineage: Eukaryota; Metazoa; Chordata; Mammalia; Primates; Hominidae.